AAGAAAACACCGGUCCAACGCCGGUGAGGAAAUGUAUGCACUGUGAGAUAACAAAGACACCACAGUGGAGGGCAGGCCCGAUGGGCCCGAAAACCCUCUGCAAUGCAUGUGGAGUUCGUUACAAGUCUGGGCGUUUGUUCCCCGAGUAUCGCCCCGCCGCUAGCCCGACCUUCGUCCCUGCCAUCCACUCCAAUUCCCAUAAGAAGGUGGUGGAGAUGAGAAUUCAGAGGCCCACUCCGGGAAUGCCCUCGCCGGAUAG
This 259-nucleotide unclassified non-coding RNA is filed under the name Hevea brasiliensis (rubber tree). The record is from RNAcentral. Lineage: Eukaryota; Viridiplantae; Streptophyta; Magnoliopsida; Malpighiales; Euphorbiaceae.